CUCGAACUCCCGACCUCAGGUGAUCCUCCCACCUGGACCUCCCAAAGUGCUGGGAUUAUAGGUGUGAGCCACCGCGCCCGGCCUUAACACAAUCUUUCUAGCGGGAGUGACAUGGGGGCCAGUGGGGAGGUGGCUGGACUCAUCAGGUGGGCAGUGGCGGAGGCCUGGGCUGUGCUGGUGACCGGGGAGGGAUGAGAGGGGCUGCAGUGUGGAUAGAGUUGGAAGGCAGGAAGGGUGGACCAGCUGUCAGCUGAGGUGAAGAGAGGACAGAGAGCCGCACUGGGCAUAUGGAUAAGGUGUAACUAGGGCAGAGCUGCUCUUUAAAGCCACCAUUCCAGGGGGUGUAGGUCAAUGGAAGGGUGUCCACUGGCCUGGGCUGUCCAGGACAGAGGCCCUGUGUCCUGGCCCCAGCCAAGUGUGCUACAUGCCCAACUGCGGGAGGCUGGAAGCCUUCGCCCUGAGGGAUGUGCCCGGCCUGCUGGGCGCCAAGCUGGCCGUGCUGCAGCUCUUUGCCGGCUGCCUGCGGCGGCGGCUGCGGGAGGUGAGAGCUGGGGUGCUGGGUGUGGGGGCGAGGGGUGGGGACGCCCCCUGCGUCACGUGACCUCAGCCGAGUCUGUCCACAGGAGGGGACCCUCCCCACACCUGUGCCACCUGCUGGACCCGGCCUCUGCCUCCUGCGCUUCCUGGCCUCUGAGCACGCCCUGCUGCUGCUGUUCAGCAAUGGGAUGGUGCAGGUGAGCUUCAGUGGAGUCCCGGCCCAACUGGUGCUGAGUGGCGAGGGUGAGGGUUUGCAGCUCACCCUCUGGGAGCAGGGGUCCCCUGGCACCUCCUACUCCCUGGACGUCCCGCGGAGCCACGGCUGCGCCCCCACCACCGGACAGCACCUUCACCACGCCCUCCGCAUGCUGCAGAGUAUCUAGUGCCCCUGAGGGUCAGAGUGGACCCCUGCAUGGUAGUGCCAGGGACCCAGGCUCCAUUUCCAUUCCUGUGGCUCCCCCAGAGGGGCUGUCCUGGGGGAGGGCUGGGGGGCACACGGGAGGUGGGUUCUUGCCUUGUGGCAUGACUGUUCAACCCAGACUUUGCUGGGAUCUCUUCCUUUUUCAUUAAAGACAAU
Molecule: long non-coding RNA, 1114 nt
Filed under: Homo sapiens (human)
Lineage: Eukaryota; Metazoa; Chordata; Mammalia; Primates; Hominidae
Description: long non-coding RNA NONHSAT060329.2
Source: RNAcentral